Transfer RNA from Brachybacterium muris, 73 nucleotides. It matches the Rfam family "tRNA". From Rfam's summary of the family: Transfer RNA (tRNA) molecules are approximately 80 nucleotides in length. Their secondary structure includes four short double-helical elements and three loops (D, anti-codon, and T loops). The record is from Rfam. NCBI's taxonomy places the organism in Bacteria, Bacillati, Actinomycetota, Actinomycetes, Micrococcales, Dermabacteraceae.
GGGCCUGUAGCUCAGUUGGCAGAGCAUCGGACUUUUAAUCCGCGGGUCGAGGGUUCGAUCCCCUCCGGGCCCA